AUCCAGAUGACGAGUCCCAAAUAGAACGAAAUGCGCUUCCUGAU
Molecule: non-coding RNA, 44 nt
Filed under: Trichobilharzia regenti
Lineage: Eukaryota; Metazoa; Platyhelminthes; Trematoda; Strigeidida; Schistosomatidae
Source: RNAcentral